Molecule: ribosomal RNA, 531 nt
Filed under: uncultured bacterium
Lineage: Bacteria
Description: partial 16S ribosomal RNA
Rfam family: Bacterial small subunit ribosomal RNA
Source: RNAcentral
UGGGGAAUAUUGCACAAUGGGCGCAAGCCUGAUGCAGCGACGCCGCGUGGGGGAUGACGGCCUUCGGGUUGUAAACUCCUUUCGCCAGGGACGAAGCGUUUUGUGACGGUACCUGGAGAAGAAGCACCGGCUAACUACGUGCCAGCAGCCGCGGUAAUACGUAGGGUGCAAGCGUUGUCCGGAAUUACUGGGCGUAAAGAGCUCGUAGGUGGUUUGUCACGUCGUCUGUGAAAUUCCACAGCUUAACUGUGGGCGUGCAGGCGAUACGGGCUGACUUGAGUACUGUAGGGGUAACUGGAAUUCCUGGUGUAGCGGUGAAAUGCGCAGAUAUCAGGAGGAACACCGAUGGCGAAGGCAAGUUACUGGGCAGUUACUGACGCUGAGGAGCGAAAGCAUGGGUAGCAAACAGGAUUAGAUACCCUGGUAGUCCAUGCCGUAAACGGUGGGCGCUAGGUGUAGGGACCUUUUGGGGAUUUCUGUGCCGUAGCUAACGCAUUAAGCGCCCCGCCUGGGGAGUACGGCCGCAAGGCU